Molecule: ribosomal RNA, 465 nt
Filed under: uncultured bacterium
Lineage: Bacteria
Description: partial 16S ribosomal RNA
Rfam family: Bacterial small subunit ribosomal RNA
Source: RNAcentral
CUACGGGACGCAGCAGUGAGGAAUUUUGCGCAAUGGGGGGAACCCUGACGCAGCAACGCCGCGUGAGUGAUGAAGGCUUUCGGGUCGUAAAGCUCUGUCAAGUGGGAAGAACCUAUGCAGUGUUAAUAUCACUGUAUACUGACGGUACCACUGAAGGAAGCACCGGCUAACUCCGUGCCAGCAGCCGCGGUAAUACGGGGGGUGCAAGCGUUAUUCGGAAUCAUUGGGCGUAAAGGGCACGUAGGCGGCUUGGUAAGUCAGAUGUGAAAGCCCGGGGCUUAACCCCGGAAGUGCAUUUGGUACUGUCAGGCUUGAGUAUGGGAGAGGGAAGUGGAAUUCCUGGUGUAGAGGUGAAAUUCGUAGAUAUCAGGAGGAACACCGGUGGCGAAGGCGACUUCCUGGACCAAUACUGACGCUGAGGUGCGAAGGCGUGGGUAGCAAACAGGAUUAGAUACCCUAGUAGUC